CCUAACUUAGCUAUUAAAUGGCCUAUAAUUAGCUUAACUAGCUCAAAAAUGGCUCAAUAAGCAUAGUUAUCUCCAAAAUGACUUAUUUAACCCAAGUUAGCUCUAGAAUGACCUAUAGUUAGCUUGGCUUCCACUUAAAUGACAUAGUUAGCUUAGUUAGCUCCAAAAUGGCCUAUUUAAUAAUAAAAAAUGACCUAUACUUAGCUAAGUUCCCUUCUAAAUAACAUAAUAUGCUUACGUAGCUCCAAGAUGACAUAUUCCUCCUAACUUAGCUAUUAAAUGGAAUUAGCUUAGAUAGCUCCAAAAUGACUAAAUAAGCAUAUUUAGCUCAAAGAUAACCUAUUUUUACAUAAGUAGCUCCAAAAUGACAUAGUAUAAUUACGUAGCUCCAAGAUGACCUAUUCCCCCUAACUUAGCUAUUAAAUGNNNNNNNNNNACUCUAAAAUGGCUUAAUCAGCAUAGUUAGCUCCAAAAUAACAUAUUUAACCCGAGUUAUCUCUAGAAUGACCUAUAGUUAGCUUGGCUUCCACCUAAAUGACAUAAUUAGCUUAGUUAGCUCCAAAAUGGCCUAUUUAUUAAAAAAUGACCUAUACUUAGCUGAGUUCUCUCCUAAAUGACAUAAUAUGCUUACGUAGCUCCAAGAUGAGCUAUUCCCCCUAACAUAGCUAUUAAAUGACCUAUAAUUAACUUAGCUAGCUCCAAAAUAGCUUAAUAAGCAUAGUUAGCUCAAAAAUGACCUACUUUUACCUAAGUAGCUCCAAAAUGACAUAUACUUAGCUUCAUUUCGUCCUAAAUAACAUAAUUAGCUUAGUUAGCUUCAAAAUGGCAUAUUUAAUAAAAAAUGACCUAUACUUAGCUAAGUUCUCUCCUAAAUGACAUAAUAAGGCUUAUGUACUUCCAAGAUAACCUAUUCCCCCUAACUUAGAUAUUAAAUGGCCUAUAAUGUGCUUAGCUAGCUCCAAAUGGCAUAAUAAGCAUAGUUAGCUCCAAAAUGACCUAUUUUACCAAUGUUAGCU
This 1016-nucleotide long non-coding RNA is filed under the name Hordeum vulgare. Its description in RNAcentral is "long non-coding RNA (HVUL_LNC009983)". The record is from RNAcentral. Lineage: Eukaryota; Viridiplantae; Streptophyta; Magnoliopsida; Poales; Poaceae.